Molecule: ribosomal RNA, 496 nt
Filed under: uncultured bacterium
Lineage: Bacteria
Description: bacterial SSU rRNA
Rfam family: Bacterial small subunit ribosomal RNA
Source: RNAcentral
AUUGAACGCUGGCGGCAGGCCUAACACAUGCAAGUCGAGCGGGGUUUUCGGACCUAGCGGCGGACGGGUGAGUAAUGCGUAGGAAGCUACCCGAUAGAGGGGGAUACCAGUUGGAAACGACUGUUAAUACCGCAUAAUGUCUACGGACCAAAGUGUGGGACCUUCGGGCCACAUGCUAUCGGAUGCGCCUACGUGGGAUUAGCUAGUUGGUGGGGUAAUGGCUCACCAAGGCGACGAUCCGUAACUGGUCUGAGAGGAUGAUCAGUCACACUGGAACUGAGACACGGUCCAGACUCCUACGGGAGGCAGCAGUGGGGAAUAUUGGACAAUGGGCGAAAGCCUGAUCCAGCCAUGCCGCGUGUGUGAAGAAGGUCUUCGGAUUGUAAAGCACUUUAAGUUGGGAGGAAGGGUUGUAGAUUAAUACUCUGCAAUUUGACGUUACCGACAGAAUAAGCACCGGCUAACUCUGUGCCAGCAGCCGCGGUAAAGUCGUACG